Molecule: long non-coding RNA, 1552 nt
Organism: Macaca fascicularis (crab-eating macaque)
Lineage: Eukaryota; Metazoa; Chordata; Mammalia; Primates; Cercopithecidae
Source: Ensembl
UUUUUUUUUUUUUUUUUUGUCAUUCUUCUUUUUGAAAUGGAGUCUCUCUCUGUCACCCAGGCUAGAGUGAGGUGGCGUGAUCUUGGCCCACUGCAACUUCUGUCUCCCCAGUUCAAGCGAUUCUCCUGCCUCAGCCCCCUGAGUAGCUGGGAUUACAGGUGCCCAACACCACACCUGACUAAUUUUUGUAUUUUUAGUAGAGACAGUGUUUCACCAUGUUGGCCAGGCUGGUCUCGAACUCCUGACUUCAGGUGAUCUGCCCAUCUCGGCUUCCCAAAAUGCUGGGAUCACAGGCAUGAACCACUAUGCCUGGCCUGCCAUUAUUCUUACGAUAUGGAAAAAUAUGGAUUCUGGCUGCUUUGGUUUUUAUGCAUUGCCGCACACUCCUGAGCGUUUGCCUGGCCGGCCUGGCUGCCUGCCCCGUGCCUCUCCCUUGUACAGGUGGUGCUGGGCCACCUGCCUGCAUGUUCUCAAGGUCCCCUGCCCUGCCCCGUCCCCCUGUUGGAGGCUCAGCCCCCGGUCUGAUCGCUGCCUGUGGGGAACACAGAUGGCUCAGGUUCCCCAGGUAACAGGGGGGGCCCCACUGCCCUGGAGAGACUAGAACAGUGGCUCAGAAUUUUCUCAGGUCAGAAGGACAGGGAAACUGAGGGCCAGGAGAGAAGCAGUGGUGCGGGAAGGCAUGCACCGCCCUCCUCAUCCACCCUGACUGUCCUUUCUGUGACCACUUCCCAGUCUUAUGUGCUCACCCUCAGCAAGCAUUUAUUUACCACUCGAGGAGUCUUUUCUCAUUAAUCUCUGAAGCAUUCAGUCAUCUUCAUCUUUCCUUCCUUCAUCCUCUUUUUAAAAAAUCCAUUUAUUCAGACAAACUGUGGUGGCACACACCUGUAAUCCCAGCAUUUUGGGAGGUCGAGGCAGAAGGAUCACUUGAGGCCAGGAGUUCAAGACCAGCCUGAGCAAUACAGUGAGACUUUGUUUCCACAAAACAUAAAAAUGAGCUGGAGUGGUGGCAUGCGCCUGUGGUCCUAGCUACUCAGGAGGGUGAUGUGGGAGGAUCGUUUGAGCCUGGGAAAUCAAGGCUGCACUGAGCUAGGAUUGUGCCACUGCACUCCAACCUGGGCAACAGAGCAAGACCUUGUCUCAGAUAAUAAUUUUUUAAAAAUCAAUGUAUUAUGCAAUGUUUCUGAGUUCCAGCUGAGCAGGCGCCCUGAAGGAAUUGUGGUUCCCGUCCUCCUGUCCAGAGAGGCCAAAGCCCCCAGCUCUCAAAGGCACAAGAGUGGCUGGUCCAGUGGCUGUGGGGAGGGGGGCCAUAGGUCCCUGACCCCAGCACAGGUGCCCAGAUUAGAUUCACACAUAUUUCCUGGGAAAAUGCAUCAGGGAAGACCUGCACCGCCACUCUCACUGCGGCCAGAUCACUUCCCAGUGCCUUCCUGUGCAGAAAAACAGAAGCUUUCGGGCCAGGGUCCUGGGGAAUCUCAUCCCAGCACUGGUCUUGCUGGCUGUCCCAAGGCGUCGGAUGCCAGAUUCCUGACGUUAUGAGGAGCACCAGGUGCCC